Molecule: ribosomal RNA, 379 nt
Filed under: uncultured eukaryote
Lineage: Eukaryota
Description: SSU rRNA
Rfam family: Eukaryotic small subunit ribosomal RNA
Source: RNAcentral
AGCUCCAAUAGCGUAUAUUAAAGUUGUUGCGGUAAAAAGCUCGUAGUUGGAUUUCUGUUGAAAUGGGGCGGUCCGUACCACGUACGCGUAUCUGCUUCCGUUUUGGCAUCCUCCUGAAGAACGUUGCUGCGCUUGAUUGCGUGGUGCGGAUUUCAGGACUUUUACUUUGAGGAAAUUAGAGUGUUCACAGCAGGCUAUCGCUUGAAUACGUUAGCAUGGAAUAAUGAUAUAGGACUUCGUUUCUAUUUUGUUGGUUUCUAGAAAUGAGGUAAUGAUUAAUAGGGACAAUUGGGGGCAUUCGUAUCAACGCGUCAGAGGUGGAAUUCUUGGAUUGCGUUGCGACGAACUACUGCGAAAGCAUUUGCCAAGGAUGUUUUCA